UACGUAGGGUGCAAGCGUUGUCCGGAAUUAUUGGGCGUAAAGAGCUCGUAGGCGGUUCGUCGCGUCGGCUGUGAAAUCCCGGAGCUCAACUCCGGGUCUGCAGUCGAUACGGGCGGACUUGAGUACUGCAGGGGAGACUGGAAUUCCUGGUGUAGCGGUGAAAUGCGCAGAUAUCAGGAGGAACACCGGUGGCGAAGGCGGGUCUCUGGGCAGUAACUGACGCUGGAGGAGCGAAAGCGUGGGGAGCGAACAGG
Molecule: ribosomal RNA, 254 nt
Filed under: uncultured bacterium
Lineage: Bacteria
Description: partial 16S ribosomal RNA
Rfam family: Bacterial small subunit ribosomal RNA
Source: RNAcentral